RNAcentral lists this ribosomal RNA (493 nucleotides) under uncultured bacterium. Its description in RNAcentral is "partial 16S ribosomal RNA". It matches the Rfam family "Bacterial small subunit ribosomal RNA", at positions 28 to 507 of the family's 1533-position model. The record is from RNAcentral.
GACGAACGCUGGCGGCGUGCUUAACACAUGCAAGUCGAACGGUGAAGGGACCGGUUUUUGCUGGUUCUGGAUGAGUGGCGAACGGGUGAGUAACACGUGAGUAACCUGCCCCCUUCUUCUGGAUAACCGCAUGAAAGUGUGGCUAAUACGGGAUAUUCUGCGCCUGCUGCAUGGUGGGUGUGGGAAUGAUAUUUUUUCGGUGGGGGAUGGGCUCGCGGCCUAUCAGCUUGUUGGUGGGGUGAUGGCCUACCAAGGCGGUGACGGGUAGCCGGCCUGAGAGGGUGGACGGUCAGACAGGGACUGAGACAAGGCCAGGACUCCUACGGGAGGCAGCAGUGGGGAAUAUUGCACAAUGGGCGAAAGCGUGAUGCAGGGACGCCGCGGGAGGGAUGGAGGCCUUCGGGUUGUAAACCUCUUUCGCCAGUGAAGCAGGCCUGUCCCUUUUGUGGGUGGGUUGACGGUAGCUGGAUAAGAAGCGCCGGCUAACUACGUG